RNAcentral lists this ribosomal RNA (460 nucleotides) under uncultured bacterium. Its description in RNAcentral is "partial 16S ribosomal RNA". It matches the Rfam family "Bacterial small subunit ribosomal RNA", at positions 338 to 795 of the family's 1533-position model. The record is from RNAcentral.
CCUACGGGAGGCAGCAGUGAGGAAUAUUGGUCAAUGGGCGCGAGCCUGAACCAGCCAAGUAGCGUGAAGGAUGACUGCCCUACGGGUUGUAAACUUCUUUUAUAAAGGAAUAAAGUGAGGCACGUGUGCCUGUUUGUAUGUACUUUAUGAAUAAGGCUCGGCUAACUCCGUGCCAGCAGCCGCGGUAAUACGGAGGAUCCGAGCGUUAUCCGGAUUUAUUGGGUGUAAAGGGAGCGUAGAUGGGUUGUUAAGUCAGUUGUGAAAGUUUGCGGCUCAACCGGAAAAUUGCAAUUGAUACUGGGAGUCUUGAGUACAGGUGAGGGAGGCGGAAUUCGUGGUGUAGCGGUGAAAUGCGUAGAUAUCACGAAGAACUCCGAUGGCGAAGGCAGCUUACUAAACUGCCACUGACAUUGAUGCUCGAAAGUGUGGGUAGCAAACAGGAUUAGAUACCCCUGUAGUC